AGAGUCACAUUCAGGGCAGGUUAGGGACUCCAGGCUCUGGACUUAGGCCUCCUCAGCAUGGCCCAGGUCUUGCAUGCUGAGGCUCUGAAAUCCAGGAAAAAUGGUUGACCCCAUGGACACUUCCUCAAAAUCUCUGCAGUGGAUGUGAUUCUGGAUACAAAAACACUAAACCCAUCCUCCUUGUUUCUGAGGACCAGAGGAGUGUGCAGCGUGCCAAGGAGCCCCAGGAUCUACCGGACAACCCUGAGAGAUUUGAUUGGCAUUAUUGUGUUCUCGGCUGUGAGAGCUUCAUGUCAGGGAGACAUUACUGGGAGGUGGAGGUAGGGGACAGGAAAGAGUGGCAUAUAGGGGUGUGUAGUAAGAAUGUGCAGAGAAAAGGUUGGGUCAAAAUGACACCUGAGAACGGAUUCUGGACUAUGGGGCUGACUGAUGGGAAUAAGUGUCAGACUCUAACUGAACCCAGAAACAACCUGAAACUUCAUAAGCCCCCUAGGAAAGUGGGGGUCUUCCUGAACUGUGAGACUGGAGAUAUCUCAUUCUACAAUGCUGUGAAUGGAUCGCAUAUUCAUACUUUCCUGGACGUCUCCUUCUCUGAGCCUCUAUAUCCUGUUUUCAGAAUUUUGACCUUGGAGCCCACUGGUCUAACAAUUUACCCAGUGCCAGAAGUAGAGAGUUCCUCAAUUCUGACCUAGUGCCUGAUCAUUCCCUGGAGUCACCAGUGACACCAGGCUUAGCUAACGAAUCUGGGGAGCCUCAGGCUGAAUGAAGUAACUUGUCUCUGCUUCUCCCUGCCCAGCUCAGAGCUGAGGGCCUCCCCCUCCACAGCAACCAAUCACAACCAUAAAGCUACAGGCACGCACUGAA
Molecule: RNA transcript, 864 nt
Organism: Cercocebus atys (sooty mangabey)
Lineage: Eukaryota; Metazoa; Chordata; Mammalia; Primates; Cercopithecidae
Gene name: butyrophilin subfamily 3 member A3-like
Exons: 1
Source: RefSeq, a predicted model, not a curated record